AUGCUGUGGAGAACAUCUGGCCGCCAUUUACACUUCAUUUCCUCCAUGUUUCGAUCUGGUGCCUCCACUCCUCACCACCUCUUUAUCUGUCGUGGCAGCAGCAAUGGAGGUCUCCAAGGCCCCUUCCUCUUCUGGUUUGGCAACCCGCCAGCCCUCCAAAUGUUAAUUCUUGAGAAAUGGCACAGUGCCAAUGCGGUGUGCUUCGAUGUGGAUAGCAUUGUAUGCUUGUAUGAGGGUAGUGACGAGCUUGCUGAUUUAUGUGGGGCUGGGCAGGCGGUUGUCGAGUGGACGACAAAGGCGAUGAUAGGGACCGUUCCAUUUGAAGAGGCUCUUGCUGCCUGGAUCUCUUUAAGCAAGCCAUCUCUGUCCCAAGUUGAGGACCCCAAUAAUACUGAAGUAUUCCUUGUGUCCGGAGGUUUCUGGCAAAUGAUCAAGGUCGAUUUAAAAUUAUGGAAGAGCAAGGGAGGUGGGAAGAGUUGUGCACUUUUAUCCUUUCUACUAACGCAUCAUAGCAUCUGA
This 519-nucleotide ribosomal RNA is filed under the name Triticum aestivum (bread wheat). Its description in RNAcentral is "partial small subunit ribosomal RNA". The record is from RNAcentral. Lineage: Eukaryota; Viridiplantae; Streptophyta; Magnoliopsida; Poales; Poaceae.